UAUUCAGACAGUUGUCAGUUGUAAUUACAAGUUUCGAACACAUUUUAAAUAUUUCAUUAAUAAAAGUUGUUUUAUUCUCCAAAAUAUCUUAGUAGUAACUUAUUGAUAACAUGUGAGAGACCCAAAGCGAUUAGAAUGACAUUGACAGUGAAUCCUAGAUGUUUCUUUUUGUCAUAUUUGUUUUGUGUUUUUUAUUAUCUGGCCUUUAUUCGUUGAUAUUGAUCUUUUGUUUUUAAUAGUAAAUACUAAAAAUUCUACCGA
RNAcentral lists this long non-coding RNA (261 nucleotides) under Mytilus galloprovincialis (Mediterranean mussel). The record is from RNAcentral. Lineage: Eukaryota; Metazoa; Mollusca; Bivalvia; Mytilida; Mytilidae.